UCAUUGGUGUGAUGAUGU
RNAcentral lists this non-coding RNA (18 nucleotides) under Arabidopsis thaliana (thale cress). Lineage: Eukaryota; Viridiplantae; Streptophyta; Magnoliopsida; Brassicales; Brassicaceae. The record is from RNAcentral.